AGGCAGCAGUGGGGAAUAUUGCGCAAUGGGCGAAAGCCUGACGCAGCGACGCCGCGUGGGGGAGGAAGGCCUCAGGGUCGUAAACCCCUGUCAGGUGGGACGAACCACGGAUCGGUCAAUACCCGGUCCGCCUGACGGUACCACCAGAGGAAGCUCCGGCUAACUCCGUGCCAGCAGCCGCGGUAAUACGGAGGGAGCUAGCGUUGUUCGGAAUCACUGGGCGUAAAGGGCGCGUAGGCGGUCGGGUAAGUCGAGUGUGAAAUUCCGGGGCUCAACCCCGCGAACUGCAUUCGAUACUGCUCGACUAGAGAAAGGUAGGGGCGAGUGGAAUUCCCGGUGUAGCGGUGGAAUGCGUAGAUAUCGGGAAGAACACCGGUGGCGAAGGCGGCUCGCUGGGCCUUUUCUGACGCUGAAGCGCGAAAGCGUGGGGAGCAAACAGGAUUAGAUACCCUGGUAGUCCACGCCGUAAACGAUGGGUACUAGGUGUUGGGAGGAUUGACCCUCUCAGUGCCGACGCUAACGCAUUAAGUACCCCGCCUGGGGAGUACGGCCGCAAGGCUGAAACUCAAAUGA
Molecule: ribosomal RNA, 573 nt
Filed under: uncultured Actinomycetes bacterium
Lineage: Bacteria; Bacillati; Actinomycetota; Actinomycetes
Description: bacterial SSU rRNA
Rfam family: Bacterial small subunit ribosomal RNA
Source: RNAcentral